AACGAACGCUGGCGGCAUGCCUAACACAUGCAAGUCGAACGAGACCUUCGGGUCUAGUGGCGCACGGUUGCGUAACGCGUGGGAACCUGCCCUUAGGUUCGGAAUAACUCCCCGAAAGGGGUGCUAAUACCGGAUAAUGUCUUCGGACCAAAGAUUUAUCGCCUUUGGAUGGGCCCGCGUUGGAUUAGCUAGUUGGUAGGGUAAAAGCCUACCAAGGCGACGAUCCAUAGCUGGUCUGAGAGGAUGAUCAGCCACACUGGGACUGAGACACGGCCCAGACUCCUACGGGAGGCAGCAGUGGGGAAUAUUGGACAAUGGGCGAAAGCCUGAUCCGGCAAUGCCGCGUGAGUGAUGAAGGCCUUAGGGUUGUAAAGCUCUUUUAACCGGGAUGAUAAUGACAGUACCGGGAGAAUAAGCUCCGGCUAACUCCGUG
RNAcentral lists this ribosomal RNA (433 nucleotides) under uncultured bacterium. RNAcentral describes it as "partial 16S ribosomal RNA". It matches the Rfam family "Bacterial small subunit ribosomal RNA", at positions 29 to 507 of the family's 1533-position model. The record is from RNAcentral.